Molecule: ribosomal RNA, 440 nt
Filed under: uncultured bacterium
Lineage: Bacteria
Description: bacterial SSU rRNA
Rfam family: Bacterial small subunit ribosomal RNA
Source: RNAcentral
CCUACGGGAUGCACCAGUGGGAGAUAUUGCACAAUGGGCGCAAGCCUGAUGCAGCCAUGCCGCGUGUAUGAAGAAGGCCUUAGGGUUGUAAAGCUCUUUCACCGGUGAAGAUAAUGACGGUAACCGGAGAAGAAGCCCCGGCUAACUUCGUGCCAGCAGCCGCGGUAAUACGAAGGGGGCUAGCGUUGUUCGGAAUUACUGGGCGUAAAGCGCGCGUAGGCGGAUAGAUAAGUCAGAGGUGAAAUCCCGGGGCUCAACCCCGGAAUUGCCUUUGAUACUGUUUAUCUUGAGUGCAGAAGAGGUAAGUGGAAUUCCGAGUGUAGAGGUGAAAUUCGUAGAUAUUCGGAGGGACACCAGUGGCGAAGGCGGCUUACUGGUCUGCAACUGACGCUGAGGCGCGAAAGCGUGGGGAGCAAACAGGAUUAGAUACCCGCGUAGUC